GACGAACGCUGGCGGCGUGCUUAACACAUGCAAGUCGAACGAAGUGGCGAACGGGUGAGUAACGCGUAAUCAAACUGCCCUUCAGAGGGGGACAACAGUUGGAAACGACUGCUAAUACCGCAUACUGAAGGAGGGGAUUGCGUCUGAUUAGUUAGUCGGGGGGGUAAAGGCCCACCAAGGCGAUGGUCAGUAGGCGGUCUGGGAGGAUUGCCAGCCACAUUGGGACUGAGAACCGGCCCAGACCCCUACGGGAGGCAGCAAUGGGGAAUCUUCCGCAAUGGACGAAAGUCUGACGGAGCAACGCCGCGGGAGUGGUGACGGCCUUCGGGUUGUAAAGCUCUGUUAAUCGGGACGCGGUACCGGAAUAGAAAGCCACGGCUAACUACGUGCCAGCAGCCGCGGUAAUAC
This 408-nucleotide ribosomal RNA is filed under the name uncultured bacterium. Its description in RNAcentral is "partial 16S ribosomal RNA". It matches the Rfam family "Bacterial small subunit ribosomal RNA", at positions 28 to 526 of the family's 1533-position model. The record is from RNAcentral.